AGUGAACGCUGGCGGUAGGCCUAACACAUGCAAGUCGAACGGCAGCACAGUAAGAGCUUGCUCUUACGGGUGGCGAGUGGCGGACGGGUGAGGAAUGCAUCGGAAUCUACUUUUUCGUGGGGGAUAACGUAGGGAAACUUACGCUAAUACCGCAUAUGACCUACGGGUGAAAGCAGGGGAUCUUCGGACCUUGCGCGAUUGAAUGAGCCGAUGUCGGAUUAGCUAGUUGGCGGGGUAAAGGCCCACCAAGGCGACGAUCCGUAGCUGGUCUGAGAGGAUGAUCAGCCACACUGGAACUGAGACACGGUCCAGACUCCUACGGGAGGCAGCAGUGGGGAAUAUUGGACAAUGGGCGCAAGCCUGAUCCAGCCAUACCGCGUGGGUGAAGAAGGCCUUCGGGUUGUAAAGCCCUUUUGUUGGGAAAGAAAAGCAGCAGGUUAAUACCCCGCUGUUCUGACGGUACCCAAAGAAUAAGCACCGGCUAACUUCGUG
This 492-nucleotide ribosomal RNA is filed under the name uncultured bacterium. Its description in RNAcentral is "partial 16S ribosomal RNA". It matches the Rfam family "Bacterial small subunit ribosomal RNA", at positions 29 to 507 of the family's 1533-position model. The record is from RNAcentral.